Molecule: long non-coding RNA, 1913 nt
Organism: Lycium ferocissimum
Lineage: Eukaryota; Viridiplantae; Streptophyta; Magnoliopsida; Solanales; Solanaceae
Exons: 2
Source: RefSeq, a predicted model, not a curated record
UCUGUUCUGUGUAUGCAAAUAGGUACAUAUGUAUACAUUAAAACAAAAACACUACGUGAUUUCUUCCCAUCUGUCCAGGUGGGAGUUAGCACGCACCCAUGUAAUUAAUCAAGGUGCGUACAAGCUGGCGUGGAUACCAAGAGAAGGUACAUUUGUAUAUAAUAUAUAAUAAGUGAAAAUUGUGAAUCUUUUUCUAAAGGGUCCAAUUUAGUGAAUUGAGUCUACUUAUGUAACGGAGUGGGCAUUGGCAGUGCAAAUUGGCAAAGGACAUGACCCGUUUGAUGGCCUUCCGUGAUUAUGUGGGUAACUGUAUUAUAAAGGUAAACUUUUCUCUUUCUUUGACUUAAAUUAUCAGGUAGCAGUCUGUUAGCUAAUAAUGUAUCAUAAACCUAUAUUCCUCGGACUCUUAAAAGUGUCUGUUGGGUGCGUGUAGGAUCCUCGAAAGUAGUGCAUUUUUUGGAGAAUCCUACACGGUCACACGGGUGCGGCAUCAUUUUUGGAGAGUCUGAGCAACAUAGUCAUAAACUAAAUCGAUGCAGUUAGUGUGUUGCUUGUAGAAUGGUGUAUGCACAUUUUAUGUCCAUCUCAUUAAUCCUAAAUGCUUCUAAAAAAUGUCACAAAAUCUCAAAUGCAUUAGGAAAUACUAGGAUAAAUCUGUAUAAGGCAUGCCAAAGACAACAUUACUGUCUUGAACAUGCUGCACUUUUUGGUAGUAAAAAAGUUCUUUAGUCUCAUUGAUAUAACUUUUCUCUGUUGCUACUCAUUUUCCUUCAUGUGUUAUCCUACACACAAAAUGAGGAUGUCAUUAUCGACUUAGUAGGACUUGCAAUUGCUUCUUUGCUCGUGUUCUUGAUAGGUCCGAAUCAUCUCUCUAACAAGUCGGAUGAAAUAAAGCAACCAGGUUAUAUUCAAAAGCUGUUCAAUUCUCUCGGCAAGAGUCAUUUGAUGUUUAUACAGCUAAAAUCGCACAGCUAUGAGGGGGAAAAAGGGAAGAAAGAAAACCAACAAUUCUACUAAGCAGAUACUAUGAGGAUGAACUGCAUAACCCUCUUCCUUUCAUUACAUACUUCCUUAUCCCUGGAAUGUGGACAUUGGAUAUGUAAUCUUUCCAAUCUAUGUUCUCCACAUCAAAACCAAACUGCCAUCGUUCUUCUUUAGACAUGCAUUCCAUCAACCACUGAGUGUUGCUGUUGUCAAAUCUGGCAAAUUUUCACUAUUUUAAUAGCCUGUUUGGCCAAGCUUCUGGGAAGCCAAAAGUGCUUAUUUAGAAAGUUGAGGUGUUUGGCCAAGCUUAUAGGGAAAUAAGUGCUUGUCCAAGCAGGCGAUAAGUCUCAGAAAUCCAAAAUAGGAUUACGAGGUAGAUAGCGAGGAUAAUAAACAAACUCUUACCUUCCUCCAUAAAAAGUGUAUGGUUCAUAGAUAUGUGCCAAGUACUUUGCUUGCUCCACUGAUUUUCUGCAGAUAUUCUCGAGUUUCCUUGACAACUUUCCGUUAGGAUCAGCCGUAUCUGUUAGCCCACUUCUGUUAAUAGCGUCUUGCCAGAGGUGGAAAGACAGGUCUUCCAUGGAGUUCAACAGCUUCAUUCUUGGAACAUGAAUAGGUCUUCCUUUGGAGUCAAUAUACGGUGAAGAAUUGAAGUGCUCGAAAAGCAACAUGGCCAGGUCCUUGAAGACUAAUGGAUUUACAACAGACGAAGCAACCUGGUAAAUGUUACUCCCCAGUUUUCCUGCUGCCCCGUGCUUUGCAAUAGCUGCCAACGUUGCGUUCACAACCAUGUCAGCUGGAACCUAAGUGGAAAGAGGUUUAUGCUUGUUAGAAUUAUGCUUUUGGACUGCAGUAACUUUAUUUUAUAGUUUAAGUUUUUUGUUAGCCAGUUAUUUCGAUGUUAAUCAAAGAGCUGUUCUGUGGAGAAA